AUAGAACGCUGGCGGCAUGCCUAACACAUGCAAGUCGAACGGCAGCACAGUAAAGAUUUCGGUCUUUAUGGGUGGCGAGUGGCGGACGGGUGAGUAAUGCGUAGGAAUCUGUCCUGGAGAGUGGGAUAACCCGAGGAAACUCGGGCUAAUACUGCAUGAUAUCGAGAGAUCAAAGGCAGGGGACCCUUCGGGGCCUUGCGCUCUAGGAUGAGCCUACGUCGGAUUAGCUAGUUGGUGGGGUAAAGGCCUACCAAGGCGACGAUCCGUAGCUGGUCUGAGAGGAUGACCAGCCACACUGGGACUGAGACACGGCCCAGACUCCUACGGGAGGCAGCAGUGGGGAAUCUUGGACAAUGGGGGAAACCCUGAUCCAGCGAUGCCGCGUGUGUAAAGAAGGCCUUCGGGUUGUAAAGCACUUUAGUUGGGGAAGAAAAGUAAUGAGUGAAUAACUGAUUGCUCUGACGGUACCCAAAGAAUAAGCACCGGCUAACUCUGUGCCAGCCGCCGCAGUAA
This 513-nucleotide ribosomal RNA is filed under the name uncultured bacterium. RNAcentral's name for it is "partial 16S ribosomal RNA". It matches the Rfam family "Bacterial small subunit ribosomal RNA", at positions 31 to 523 of the family's 1533-position model. The record is from RNAcentral.